This 254-nucleotide ribosomal RNA is filed under the name uncultured bacterium. RNAcentral describes it as "partial 16S ribosomal RNA". It matches the Rfam family "Bacterial small subunit ribosomal RNA", at positions 524 to 776 of the family's 1533-position model. The record is from RNAcentral.
GACAGAGGGUGCUAACGUUGCUCGGAAUUACUGGGCGUAAAGCGCGUGUAGGCGGACCGGCAAGUCGGUUGUGAAAUCCCCAGGCUCAACCUGGGAACUGCGUCCGAAACUGCUGGUCUUGAGUGGUGGAGAGGGAUGGCGGAAUUCCGGGUGUAGAGGUGAAAUUCGUAGAUAUCCGGAGGAACACCGGUGGCGAAGGCGGCCUCCUGGACACCUACUGACGCUGAGACGCGAAAGCGUGGGGAGCAAACAGG